UGCUAAUCUGCGAUAAGCGCCGGUAAGGUGAUAUGAACCGUUAUAACCGGCGAUUUCCGAAUGGGGAAACCCAGUGUGAUUCGUCACACUAUCAUUAACUGAAUCCAUAGGUUAAUGAGGCGAACCGGGGGAACUGAAACAUCUAAGUACCCCGAGGAAAAGAAAUCAACCGAGAUUCCCCCAGUAGCGGCGAGCGAACGGGGAGGAGCCCAGAGCCUGAAUCAGCAUGUGUGUUAGUGGAAGCGUCUGGAAAGGCGCGCGAUACAGGGUGACAGCCCCGUACACAAAAGCGCAUGUGCUGUGAGCUCGAUGAGUAGGGCGGGACACGUGGUAUCCUGUCUGAAUAUGGGGGGACCAUCCUCCAAGGCUAAAUACUCCUGACUGACCGAUAGUGAACCAGUACCGUGAGGGAAAGGCGAAAAGAACCCCGGCGAGGGGAGUGAAAAAGAACCUGAAACCGUGUACGUACAAGCAGUGGGAGCACAGGUUUACCUGUGUGACUGCGUACCUUUUGUAUAAUGGGUCAGCGACUUAU
Molecule: ribosomal RNA, 535 nt
Filed under: Salmonella enterica subsp. enterica serovar Newport
Lineage: Bacteria; Pseudomonadati; Pseudomonadota; Gammaproteobacteria; Enterobacterales; Enterobacteriaceae
Description: partial 23S ribosomal RNA
Rfam family: Bacterial large subunit ribosomal RNA
Source: RNAcentral